CAGCCCUGUAGGAGACACCUCCAGAGAAAGUAACAGCUCUCAAUUGAUUAGCUGAGGAAGACACCAGACAAAUGAGUUACACUGUUUUGGACUCCCCAACACAACCCAGCCACCGGCUGAAUGCCACCAAAUUACCUUCUAGUUAAAGGUUUAUGGAGCAAACGAAUCACCUAUUCAAUAUCUGCUUGAAUUUCUGACUCAAAAUACAUCAGGUAUAAAAUGAUGGUUUUUUUAAGCCACUAAGUCUUGGGGGAGUUUAUUAUAAAGCAAUAGAUAAUUUUGAAAAUAAAUAGAACAAGCUGAAGUCCCAAUAAGAACUCCAUGGUUUCAUUUAUUUCUUUGAUAGAAUGGUCUUGGAAGUAACAUCUAAUUUUGACUGAGGUAUCAUCUCUAACCAGUGAUCUAUAAAGCAGUUUGGGAUCUCUAGCCUGCCCGUGAUCAUAUAUAUAUAUACACACACACACAUAAACAUAUAUAACAUAUAUAUAAACAUAUAUAUGCAUGUAUGUGCCCCAUAGUUAGGUAAGUCAAUUUACAAUGAUGAAGUAAAUCGAAUUCAUAAUAAUAACGGUUAGGUUUAGUGAUAAAUUUUGUAAUUACUGCUGUUAUGUUUGUGGAUUUUUUUUCUUUCUUUGAGACACGUUCUUGCUUUGUCACCCAGGCUGGAGUGCAGUGGUACAAUCAUGACUCAUUGCAGCCUCAAUCUCCC
RNAcentral lists this long non-coding RNA (709 nucleotides) under Homo sapiens (human). Its description in RNAcentral is "non-protein coding lnc-FTCDNL1-4:39". The record is from RNAcentral. Lineage: Eukaryota; Metazoa; Chordata; Mammalia; Primates; Hominidae.